This 397-nucleotide ribosomal RNA is filed under the name uncultured bacterium. Its description in RNAcentral is "partial 16S ribosomal RNA". It matches the Rfam family "Bacterial small subunit ribosomal RNA", at positions 523 to 918 of the family's 1533-position model. The record is from RNAcentral.
AUACGUAGGUGGCAAGCGUUGUCCGGAAUUAUUGGGCGUAAAGCGCGCGCAGGUGGUUCCUUAAGUCUGAUGUGAAAGCCCCCGGCUCAACCGGGGAGGGUCAUUGGAAACUGGGGAACUUGAGUGCAGAAGAGGAUAGUGGAAUUCCAAGUGUAGCGGUGAAAUGCGUAGAGAUUUGGAGGAACACCAGUGGCGAAGGCGACUGUCUUGUCUGUAACGGACACUUAGGCGCGAAAGCGUGGGGAGCAAACAGGAUUAGAUACCCUGGUAGUCCACGCUGUAAACGAUGAGUGCUAAGUGUUGGGGGGUUUCCGCCCCUCAGUGCUGCAGCUAACGCAUUAAGCACUCCGCCUGGGGAGUACGGUCGCAAGACUUAAACUUAAAGGAAUUGACGGGG